Molecule: non-coding RNA, 872 nt
Organism: Equus caballus (horse)
Lineage: Eukaryota; Metazoa; Chordata; Mammalia; Perissodactyla; Equidae
Source: the annotation of a RefSeq genome assembly
AAUGCUUUAGCUAAAAACAGAACAGUUUACAUGUGAAAAAGAGGGCUCCGUGAAAAGAAAUGAAUGAAGGGUAGGAAGUUGAAAUCACAUUUACGAUCGCCUGGGCAGCAGAAAAGACAACCUGAGUCUUCACAGGAGAAAUGGGCAGGCUCCUGGGGGCAUCAUUGUGGAUUCUGUGGCUUCAGCCAUACUGGGUUAAUAGCCAACAGAAGAAUGGUGACCAGCAACAGGUCAAGCAAAAUUCUCCAUCUGUGAGUGUGCAAGAAGGAGGAAUUUCUAUUCUGAACUGUGACUACAAUAAUAAGUUAUUUGAUUACUUCCUAUGGUACAGAAAAUACCCUGCUAAAGGUCCUGCACUCCUGAUAUCAAUACCCUUAGGUAUGGAUAAAAAUGAAGAUGGAAGAUUCACAGUCUUCCUCAACAAAAGUACUAAACACCUCUCUCUGCACAUUGCGGCCUCCCGGCCUGGAGACUCUGCCUUGUACCUCUGCGCAGCAAGUGCACAGUGCUCUCCAGGCACCUGCAGCCUGUACACAAACCUGAAGCUGGGUCCAAGCCAAUACCUCCUUUGGGGUCUCAGACUGAGAGGCACACACACUUGCUUCCAUUUACACAUGGCAGGAAGAGAGGGUGUGGUUUAAAGUAGGUGAGCAAGCUGAGCUUUAAGGAAGACUGAUAUGUGACAAGUCCUACAAAUGAGUUAAGAACAUUCCCUGAGCCUUGGGUUGUCCAAGAGUCUAACCAUUCUCCAUUUUUACUUUCAGAGAGAGGUUGCUGGUUUAGUCAAAGCACCAAUCUCUGGUGAUGCUUUGUUCCCACUAGCUCCUGGAAUGAGGAUACCCUGUUUCCCCUGUAUCCUAGAGGAAAAGACA